CUGUGACCUGGUUCAAGUAAUCCAGGAUAGGCUGGGCCCAUUCUCAUUGGCCUAUUCUUGGUUACUUGCACUCGGGCACGG
Non-coding RNA from Sarcophilus harrisii (Tasmanian devil), 81 nucleotides. NCBI's taxonomy places the organism in Eukaryota, Metazoa, Chordata, Mammalia, Dasyuromorphia, Dasyuridae. The record is from Rfam.